UUUCCGUAGGUGAACCUGCGGAAGGAUCAUUAUUGAAUAACCGAGGUGCGAGGGCUGUCGCUGACCCGAAAGGUCGUGCACGUCCGAGUGCCCUCACACACAUCCAUCUCACCCCUAUGUGCACCACCGCGUGGGUCCCCCUUUGGCUUGUUCGGAGGGGGGCUUACGUUUUCACACAAACUUUGUAUGCAGUGUAGAAUGUAUUUUUUGUUUUUGCGAUCACGCAAUCAAUACAACUUUCAACAACGGAUCUCUUGGCUCUC
RNAcentral lists this unclassified non-coding RNA (263 nucleotides) under plant metagenome. RNAcentral describes it as "partial contains small subunit ribosomal RNA, internal transcribed spacer 1, and 5.8S ribosomal RNA". The record is from RNAcentral.